Molecule: ribosomal RNA, 292 nt
Filed under: uncultured bacterium
Lineage: Bacteria
Description: partial 16S ribosomal RNA
Rfam family: Bacterial small subunit ribosomal RNA
Source: RNAcentral
GUGUCAGCAGCCGCGGUAAGACGAACCGUGCGAACGUUGUUCGGAUUCACUGGGCUUAAAGGGCGCGUAGGCGGCGGCUCAAGUCGGGGGUGAAAUCCUCUCGCUUAACGAGAGAAUUGCUUUCGAUACUGGGUCGCUGGAGGGAGAUAGGGGUGCGCGGAACUUCCGGUGGAGCGGUGAAAUGCGUAGAUAUCGGAAGGAACGCCGGUGGCGAAAGCGGCGCACUGGAUCUCUUCUGACGCUGAGGCGCGAAAGCCAGGGGAGCAAACGGGAUUAGAUACCCGGGUAGUCC